UACGGGGGGGGCAAGCGUUGUUCGGAAUUACUGGGCGUAAAGGGCUCGUAGGCGGCCAACUAAGUCCGACGUGAAAUCCCCAGGCUUAACCUGGGAACUGCGUCGGAUACUGGAUGGCUUGAAUUCGGGAGAGGGAUGCAGAAUUCCAGGUGUAGCGGUGAAAUGCGUAGAUAUCUGGAGGAAUACCGGUGGCGAAGGCGGCAUCCUGGACCGACAUUGACGCUGAGGAGCGAAAGCUAGGGGAGCGAACGGG
RNAcentral lists this ribosomal RNA (253 nucleotides) under uncultured bacterium. Its description in RNAcentral is "partial 16S ribosomal RNA". It matches the Rfam family "Bacterial small subunit ribosomal RNA", at positions 524 to 776 of the family's 1533-position model. The record is from RNAcentral.